This 420-nucleotide ribosomal RNA is filed under the name Salmonella enterica. Its description in RNAcentral is "bacterial SSU rRNA". It matches the Rfam family "Bacterial small subunit ribosomal RNA", at positions 1 to 417 of the family's 1533-position model. Lineage: Bacteria; Pseudomonadati; Pseudomonadota; Gammaproteobacteria; Enterobacterales; Enterobacteriaceae. The record is from RNAcentral.
AAAUUGAAGAGUUUGAUCAUGGCUCAGAUUGAACGCUGGCGGCAGGCCUAACACAUGCAAGUCGAACGGUAACAGGAAGCAGCUUGCUGCUUCGCUGACGAGUGGCGGACGGGUGAGUAAUGUCUGGGAAGCUGCCUGAUGGAGGGGGAUAACUACUGGAAACGGUGGCUAAUACCGCAUAACGUCGCAAGACCAAAGAGGGGGACCUUCGGGCCUCUUGCCAUCAGAUGUGCCCAGAUGGGAUUAGCUAGUUGGUGAGGUAACGGCUCACCAAGGCGACGAUCCCUAGCUGGUCUGAGAGGAUGACCAGCCACACUGGAACUGAGACACGGUCCAGACUCCUACGGGAGGCAGCAGUGGGGAAUAUUGCACAAUGGGCGCAAGCCUGAUGCAGCCAUGCCGCGUGUAUGAAGAAGGCCU